RNAcentral lists this ribosomal RNA (414 nucleotides) under Staphylococcus warneri. RNAcentral describes it as "bacterial SSU rRNA". It matches the Rfam family "Bacterial small subunit ribosomal RNA", at positions 55 to 458 of the family's 1533-position model. The record is from RNAcentral. Lineage: Bacteria; Bacillati; Bacillota; Bacilli; Caryophanales; Staphylococcaceae.
AUGCAAGUCGAGCGAACAGAUAAGGAGCUUGCUCCUUUGACGUUAGCGGCGGACGGGUGAGUAACACGUGGAUAACCUACCUAUAAGACUGGGAUAACUUCGGGAAACCGGAGCUAAUACCGGAUAACAUAUUGAACCGCAUGGUUCAAUAGUGAAAGGCGGCUUUGCUGUCACUUAUAGAUGGAUCCGCGCCGUAUUAGCUAGUUGGUAAGGUAACGGCUUACCAAGGCAACGAUACGUAGCCGACCUGAGAGGGUGAUCGGCCACACUGGAACUGAGACACGGUCCAGACUCCUACGGGAGGCAGCAGUAGGGAAUCUUCCGCAAUGGGCGAAAGCCUGACGGAGCAACGCCGCGUGAGUGAUGAAGGUCUUCGGAUCGUAAAACUCUGUUAUCAGGGAAGAACAAAUGGGG